Molecule: ribosomal RNA, 253 nt
Filed under: uncultured bacterium
Lineage: Bacteria
Description: partial 16S ribosomal RNA
Rfam family: Bacterial small subunit ribosomal RNA
Source: RNAcentral
UACGUAGGGGGCAAGCGUUGUCCGGAAUCAUUGGGCGUAAAGCGCGCGUAGGCGGCUUUGCAAGUCGAUUGUGAAAUCCCCAGGCUUAACCUGGGAACUGCAUUCGAGACUGCAUAGCUAGAGUAUGGGAGAGGGAAGUGGAAUUUCAGGUGUAGCGGUGAAAUGCGUAGAUAUCUGAAGGAACAUCAGUGGCGAAAGCGACUUCCUGGACCAAUACUGACGCUCAUGUGCGAAAGCGUGGGGAGCAAACAGG